ACUUCUGCUCUUAAGGGAUAAUCCAGGCCAAGGAAGCAUCCAGAGACUCCGUGGAGAAAGACUACCACUUUUCGCAGAGUGGAGAGGAAAGAAGCAAAUGAGCAAUGUCUGUUUAUGUAUCUGUAUUCUAGGAAGCAGCUCUCAGAUUUCAAGAGUUCUACCAGUAUUUGGAGCAGUUGUUUAUAAAAAUCCUCCGCUCACCUAAAAAUGCAAGGAAAUACUGCAAUUUAAAUGGAGAAUUAAUUUCUUAUUUGUCUUGCUGAUCUUUAAAUAAAAGACAAAAA
Molecule: long non-coding RNA, 284 nt
Organism: Taeniopygia guttata (zebra finch)
Lineage: Eukaryota; Metazoa; Chordata; Aves; Passeriformes; Estrildidae
Source: RefSeq, a predicted model, not a curated record